GACGAACGCUGGCGGCGUGCUUAACACAUGCAAGUCGAACGGAAAGGCCCUGCUUUUGUGGGGUGCUCGAGUGGCGAACGGGUGAGUAACACGUGGGUAACCUGCCCUUGACUUUGGGAUAACUUCAGGAAACUGGGGCUAAUACCGGAUAGGAGCUCCUGCUGCAUGGUGGGGGUUGGAAAGUUUCGGCGGUUGGGGAUGGACUCGCGGCUUAUCAGCUUGUUGGUGGGGUAGUGGCUUACCAAGGCUUUGACGGGUAGCUGGCCUGAGAGGGUGACCGGCCACAUUGGGACUGAGAUACGGCCCAGACUCCUACGGGAGGCAGCAGUGGGGAAUAUUGCACAAUGGGCGGAAGCCUGAUGCAGCAACGCCGCGUGCGGGAUGACGGCCUUCGGGUUGUAAACCGCUUUCGCCUGUGACGAAGCGUGAGUGACGGUAAUGGGUAAAGAAGCACCGGCUAACUACGUG
RNAcentral lists this ribosomal RNA (468 nucleotides) under uncultured bacterium. RNAcentral's name for it is "partial 16S ribosomal RNA". It matches the Rfam family "Bacterial small subunit ribosomal RNA", at positions 28 to 507 of the family's 1533-position model. The record is from RNAcentral.